GCACCGAUGGUGUAGCGGUAACACACACACUAUUGUUCAAUGUUUGAUAUAGUGGAUUUAUGUGUGGAUCCGGGGUUCGAAUCCCGUCGGUGCA
Molecule: non-coding RNA, 94 nt
Organism: Mycena crocata
Lineage: Eukaryota; Fungi; Basidiomycota; Agaricomycetes; Agaricales; Mycenaceae
Source: the annotation of a GenBank genome assembly